RNAcentral lists this ribosomal RNA (384 nucleotides) under Sordariomycetes sp. genotype 76. Its description in RNAcentral is "eukaryotic LSU rRNA". The stretch from base 97 to 384 matches the Rfam family "Eukaryotic large subunit ribosomal RNA", at positions 1 to 294 of the family's 3401-position model. Lineage: Eukaryota; Fungi; Ascomycota; Sordariomycetes. The record is from RNAcentral.
UGGCGGGCUCGCUAUAACUCCGAGCGUAGUAGUAAAAUAUCUCGCUAGGGAGGUGUCGCGGGUUCCGGCCGUGAAAGCCCAUCUUUUACACAAGGUUGACCUCGGAUCAGGUAGGAAUACCCGCUGAACUUAAGCAUAUCAAUAAGCGGAGGAAAAGAAACCAACAGGGAUUGCCCCAGUAACGGCGAGUGAAGCGGCAACAGCUCAAAUUUGAAAUCUGGCUUCGGCCCGAGUUGUAAUUUGUAGAGGAUGCUUUUGGUGAGGUGCCUUCUGAGUUCCCUGGAACGGGACGCCAGAGAGGGUGAGAGCCCCGUAUAGUUGGACACCGAGCCUCUGUAAAGCUCCUUCGACGAGUCGAGUAGUUUGGGAAUGCUGCUCAAAAUG